Molecule: long non-coding RNA, 322 nt
Organism: Protopterus annectens (West African lungfish)
Lineage: Eukaryota; Metazoa; Chordata; Ceratodontiformes; Protopteridae
Exons: 3
Source: RefSeq, a predicted model, not a curated record
UGUCAGUCUCAACAAUAGUGGUGUCUGUGAUAUCUGGGUCUGGGUCUGGGUCUGGUUCUGGUCAAUCUGGGUCCAACUCAGUCUCUGGUUCUACCAGCUCUCUUGCUCCUCGGCCUGCUUUUGUUCCUUCUACAGUCCCAAACUCAGCAGAGAAUAGCACAGCAGCCCCUGCAGUCGUGACUACAGAGUGUAUACAGCCAGAGUACCAUAGCACAAAUUUUUAUGGGUAUGACUACCAGGUUGUAAGCUUUCCAAACAGCGAUUCCUGCAGGGCGGCUUGUAGUACUGAUCCGUACUGUCAUUUCUAUACAUAUGACCUUCA